This 1819-nucleotide ribosomal RNA is filed under the name human gut metagenome. Its description in RNAcentral is "bacterial LSU rRNA". It matches the Rfam family "Bacterial large subunit ribosomal RNA", at positions 1128 to 2925 of the family's 2925-position model. The record is from RNAcentral.
GAAAGCGUAAUAGCUCACUGGUCGAGUCGGCCUGCGCGGAAGAUGUAACGGGGCUAAACCAUGCACCGAAGCUGCGGCAGCGACACUAUGUGUUGUUGGGUAGGGGAGCGUUCUGUAAGCCUGUGAAGGUGGCCUGUGAGGGUUGCUGGAGGUAUCAGAAGUGCGAAUGCUGACAUAAGUAACGAUAAAGCGGGUGAAAAGCCCGCUCGCCGGAAGACCAAGGGUUCCUGUCCAACGUUAAUCGGGGCAGGGUGAGUCGACCCCUAAGGCGAGGCCGAAAGGCGUAGUCGAUGGGAAACAGGUUAAUAUUCCUGUACUUGGUGUUACUGCGAAGGGGGGACGGAGAAGGCUAUGUUGGCCGGGCGACGGUUGUCCCGGUUUAAGCGUGUAGGCUGGUUUUCCAGGCAAAUCCGGAAAACCAAGGCUGAGGCGUGAUGACGAGGCACUACGGUGCUGAAGCGACAAAUGCCCUGCUUCCAGGAAAAGCCUCUAAGCAUCAGGUAACAUCAAAUCGUACCCAAAACCGACACAGGUGGUCAGGUAGAGAAUACCAAGGCGCUUGAGAGAACUCGGGUGAAGGAACUAGGCAAAAUGGUGCCGUAACUUCGGGAGAAGGCACGCUGAUAUGUAGGUGAAGCGACUUGCUCGUGGAGCUGAAAUCAGUCGAAGAUACCAGCUGGCUGCAACUGUUUAUUAAAAACACAGCACUGUGCAAACACGAAAGUGGACGUAUACGGUGUGACGCCUGCCCGGUGCCGGAAGGUUAAUUGAUGGGGUUAGCGGUAACGCGAAGCUCUUGAUCGAAGCCCCGGUAAACGGCGGCCGUAACUAUAACGGUCCUAAGGUAGCGAAAUUCCUUGUCGGGUAAGUUCCGACCUGCACGAAUGGCGUAAUGAUGGCCAGGCUGUCUCCACCCGAGACUCAGUGAAAUUGAACUCGCUGUGAAGAUGCAGUGUACCCGCGGCAAGACGGAAAGACCCCGUGAACCUUUACUAUAGCUUGACACUGAACAUUGAGCCUUGAUGUGUAGGAUAGGUGGGAGGCUUUGAAGUGUGGACGCCAGUCUGCAUGGAGCCGACCUUGAAAUACCACCCUUUAAUGUUUGAUGUUCUAACGUUGGCCCGUAAUCCGGGUUGCGGACAGUGUCUGGUGGGUAGUUUGACUGGGGCGGUCUCCUCCUAAAGAGUAACGGAGGAGCACGAAGGUUGGCUAAUCCUGGUCGGACAUCAGGAGGUUAGUGCAAUGGCAUAAGCCAGCUUGACUGCGAGCGUGACGGCGCGAGCAGGUGCGAAAGCAGGUCAUAGUGAUCCGGUGGUUCUGAAUGGAAGGGCCAUCGCUCAACGGAUAAAAGGUACUCCGGGGAUAACAGGCUGAUACCGCCCAAGAGUUCAUAUCGACGGCGGUGUUUGGCACCUCGAUGUCGGCUCAUCACAUCCUGGGGCUGAAGUAGGUCCCAAGGGUAUGGCUGUUCGCCAUUUAAAGUGGUACGCGAGCUGGGUUUAGAACGUCGUGAGACAGUUCGGUCCCUAUCUGCCGUGGGCGCUGGAGAACUGAGGGGGGCUGCUCCUAGUACGAGAGGACCGGAGUGGACGCAUCACUGGUGUUCGGGUUGUCAUGCCAAUGGCACUGCCCGGUAGCUAAAUGCGGAAGAGAUAAGUGCUGAAAGCAUCUAAGCACGAAACUUGCCCCGAGAUGAGUUCUCCCUGACUCCUUGAGGGUCCUGAAGGAACGUUGAAGACGACGACGUUGAUAGGCCGGGUGUGUAAGCGCAGCGAUGCGUUGAGCUAACCGGUACUAAUGAACCGUGAGGCUUAACCUU